CCUCUCCGUGUCUCCGCGGAGACGUUACCGUGGUCCAGCUGGAGACCAAAAGGUGAAAAUGCUCAAGUUCAAGGCCUUUUGCCUGGAUUACUGGCAGUUCCUGUGCCUACAGCCCCUGCAUGGAGCCUACAAAAGGUUCUUCCGAGCGUGUGUGUUCUGUCCAGUGCACACCUUGGUCAAGAAAGAACCACAUCCGGGCCAGCAGGAGAUCAUCAUGGAGCCGUCGCCAUGGUCACCUUGAACGGCGUGUUAUUAAAGACCUGGAGGAGGGAAUUGUCCCGUCUAUUCUGAGGGAAUUAGUUUUUCCUGAUUUCACACUCUGUGAAGUCUGCGGCCAUUAGCAUACGAGCAAUUCUGGGAAAGUGUGGGAGCUUUUCUUCUUCCUUCCAGUGGGCUUUCUCCAAAGGGGGCGGGCACGGAGGGUCUCACGGCAGCUGUAGAAAGGAAGUCCCUGCUCUUGGGAGGGUGCCAGCGAGAGAGGCCUGUCCUGCGUCUGAUUAGUGCAAGCCACAUCAGAGAGGAGCCCGACACCCAGUGGGCCCUGAGCGCUGUGGUGCAGCCUUUCACCCCACCCCCCGCCCCCAGGCUUGUUCAUGCGGCCUCAGGAGGGCAUGUCCGGCUGUCAGUGAUUCGGUGUCUACCGCGGUGGGGCACUUUAUAUACUUAAUUGUUCAUCCUCAUCCCUCCUGCAAAAGAAGCAUUAAAGCCCCUGUGCGCAGGUGAGCAGAAUAAAACCAGAGGGCAGGCAACUGCAGAAGAGUGGCCACGAGAUCUGACCCCUGUCUUUCCU
This 790-nucleotide long non-coding RNA is filed under the name Homo sapiens (human). RNAcentral describes it as "non-protein coding lnc-RPL32-3:1". Lineage: Eukaryota; Metazoa; Chordata; Mammalia; Primates; Hominidae. The record is from RNAcentral.